This 486-nucleotide ribosomal RNA is filed under the name uncultured bacterium. RNAcentral's name for it is "partial 16S ribosomal RNA". It matches the Rfam family "Bacterial small subunit ribosomal RNA", at positions 30 to 507 of the family's 1533-position model. The record is from RNAcentral.
AUUGAACGCUGGCGGCAUGCCUUACACAUGCAAGUCGAACGGCAGCACGGGUGCUUGCCCCUGGUGGCGAGUGGCGAACGGGUGAGUAAUACAUCGGAACAUGUCCUGUAGUGGGGGAUAGCCCGGCGAAAGCCGGAUUAAUACCGCAUACGAUCCACGGAUGAAAGCGGGGGACUUUCGGGCCUCGCGCUAUGGGGUUGGCCGAUGGCUGAUUAGCUAGUUGGUGGGGUAAAGGCCUACCAAGGCGACGAUCAGUAGCUGGUCUGAGAGGACGACCAGCCACACUGGAACUGAGACACGGCCCAGACUCCUACGGGAGGCAGCAGUGGGGAAUUUUGGACAAUGGGCGAAAGCCUGAUCCAGCAAUGCCGCGUGUGUGAAGAAGGCCUUCGGGUUGUAAAGCACUUUUGUCCGGAAAGAAAGCCUUGACGCUAAUACAGUCGGGGGAUGACGGUACCGGAAGAAUAAGCACCGGCUAACUACGUG